Molecule: long non-coding RNA, 1438 nt
Organism: Anneissia japonica
Lineage: Eukaryota; Metazoa; Echinodermata; Crinoidea; Comatulida; Comatulidae
Exons: 4
Source: RefSeq, a predicted model, not a curated record
AUCAAAUAGCGGAUUGGACAAAUAUACCCCCUCAAUGUGAGUGUAUAUAAGAGGGUGAAUUGCACCAUUCAGAUAUUCAAAGCGAUCUCAGACGCAAAGCGGAGAGACAAUUAGUCAAACAGAAGAGGAAGAAUGUCUACAUGCAAGAUGAUACAGGCGAGUUUAUUGGUGACGUUAGCGAUUUUAGCAUUAGCGGCAGUGGGUAAUGCAGAAACAUUGGCAAGUAUCGACAAUCAAGUUGAAAAGGUUGUAAGAGAUAGGAUCCUCAUAGAUAUGCUGAAUCAAAUGCUUUCGAAAAGAAAUGAGAUCGAUGAUCGAAAUCACCAAACCAUGAAACGACAGAACACGGGAGCCCAUGACAAUAUAUUAACUACCAUAAAACUAAAAGAAUGGUGUAUUAAAAUGCAAUUAUCAGGGUGUUAAAGGAAUUCAUAAUUUUUCAGAUAACAUCUACCGAAAAGAGUGCCUGAUAUUCCGAUCUACCUUAUCCACCAGAGCAAUGAAACUAUACAACGACGGGAGUAAAAAUAUGGAAUUCCUUGAUGCAUUUACAUUAGCAAGAAACUCAACAGGACUCAUCGUUUUUCGUCAAAUCCAUAAUUUUGACCAUCAUAACGGGAAAUGAAGAACUAAACAUGUUCUACGACUUUGGAUUAUUAACAAUAAUGAACUAUGUGUUCCUACUUUGUUGCAAUUGUGAUUCAUGAGAAUACGUUAUAUCUAACCGAAGAUAAAUUUUAAGCUCUGUCUAUACUGUUAAUUUUUAUGCGGCAAAUACCUGUGAUUAUGCUCAUAUAUGGAUGUUAUAUUACAUCAGAUGCCCAAAUGUGCGAAUAACAUUGUCACAGAAUACUUCAUAGUGUGGUCAAAAAUUAAACAACUGAUUUCCCUUUUACAUAUAUUUAAAUACAUUAUUCAGAAAAAUGUUUAAAUGACGUAAAUAAGUUAUAUGCCAUAAGACAUGCUCCAACAUCUUAGUGUAAUUAUUUUAAUAUCAAGUUAGUGUUAUGACGUAUACUCAGUUACUUUGCAGGAACACAUAAUCUCCACACUCGACUUAAAUGUCCUAAGAUGGUUAUCGACGUACAACAUUUACCUUAAAGGUGUGCGGAAAUAUACGUCGCCUUUGAGUCUAGUGAUAUCAACCGUCCUUUACAGCAAUUAACUGAAGUAUGUUUACAUAAUAUUCCACUUCCAUAAAUUCCAGUUAAAUGUAAAAUAGAGGGAAAAUGAGGCAAUUUAUUUGUAGUUAAGGAUAUCGGAAACAAUUUCACAAUUUAUAUAUUAUAUUAUAUAUUUUUAAGUUUGGUAAAGGGUUUAUUUGUAUAAUAGUUAUGAAUUAUUUACUUAAUAGAUUUAGUCUGAAUUCUGUUGAUAAGAAACAAACAAAUGAGAAGAUCUAAGAAUAAAUAAAAAAUAGGUACAGUAAUGAAACAAA